GGAAGUCAUAAUACAAUGUCAUGACAUCGUGUGUGACAUUGCUUCUAUCUGCUAUACGUUUUACAUGUGUAGAUGUAGGUGUCUUUCCAAUAUCCUCCACAUUGUUCUUGGCCUUUUUGCUUUGAGAUAAAUUAAUAGUUCCAUUCUGCUUAUGACUGGUCAUAUGUCCACUUAUUUGAUCUGUCUUCUCAGUUGUUUGGGUUAUCAUAACCUUUUC
Molecule: long non-coding RNA, 217 nt
Filed under: Lathyrus oleraceus (garden pea)
Lineage: Eukaryota; Viridiplantae; Streptophyta; Magnoliopsida; Fabales; Fabaceae
Description: Pisum sativum (pea) long non-coding RNA (PSAT_LNC010734)
Source: RNAcentral